This 325-nucleotide long non-coding RNA is filed under the name Spirodela polyrhiza (greater duckweed). Its description in RNAcentral is "long non-coding RNA (SPOL_LNC002398)". Lineage: Eukaryota; Viridiplantae; Streptophyta; Magnoliopsida; Alismatales; Araceae. The record is from RNAcentral.
CUUCUUCUUGUGCUCCUCGUCCUCGGACUUGUACUUCUCCGCCUCCUGGACCAUCUUCUCGAUCUCCUCCUUGCUGAGCCGCCCCUUGUCGUUGGUGAUGGUGAUCUUGUUCUUCUGCCCGGUGGUCUUGUCCUCGGCGGACACGUUCAGGAUGCCGUUGGCGUCGAUGUCGAAGCAGACGGUGAUCUGCGGCACGCCCCUGGGGGCCGGGGGGAUGCCGGAGAGCUCGAACUUGCCCAGCAGGUUGUUGUCCCUCGUCCGCGUCCGCUCGCCCUCGUACACCUGGAUGAGCACGCCGGGCUGGUUGUCCGAGUAGGUCGAGAAG